This 222-nucleotide ribosomal RNA is filed under the name uncultured bacterium. RNAcentral describes it as "partial 16S ribosomal RNA". It matches the Rfam family "Bacterial small subunit ribosomal RNA", at positions 524 to 776 of the family's 1533-position model. The record is from RNAcentral.
UACGUAAGAGACUAGUGUUAAUCAUCAUAAAUAGGUUUAAAGGGUACUCAGACGGAAAAUAUUCGCCUAAAAAAGGGACAAUUUUUCUAGAGUUUUAUGUAAGAAGAUCGUACUACUAGAGUGUAGAGAUCAUAUUUGUUGAUACCUAGGGACUGGUAAAGGCGAAGGCAAUCUUUAUGUAAAACUGACGUCGAAGGACGAAUGGCAAAGGGCACGAACAGG